Molecule: non-coding RNA, 338 nt
Organism: Dermacentor andersoni
Lineage: Eukaryota; Metazoa; Arthropoda; Arachnida; Ixodida; Ixodidae
Source: RefSeq, a predicted model, not a curated record
CUAGCUGCCAUAGCUGCAGCAUCUGAGCCCAGCCUGCCUGGAGGCGUAACCAUCAAACAGGAGCCACUGGACAUUGUGUAGGCACAUCAAAAAUACAUAACUUGCAGGCUCUCCGAGAUGGGAAGGCACUGCUUGACCAGGCAUGAAAUCCACAGCGUGUGCUCACCAACAGAAGACAGCUGCCAGAACUGCAUCACAACAAAGACAGCAAAUGUCGACAUCAAGCGGAACAUUGCGGCGGAGGCCAUGCCUGCAAAGUGCGGCCAGCUAGCUUGAUGGUAUUUAGAGUACUGUUUAAUAAAAUAUAUGGCACUGUUGCCAGCAGCAUUGUGUUGAAA